GCGUUCGUGGCGUAGUGGUCAGCACGCUGGGCGCGUAUUCCAGAGGUCCGUGGUUCGAGUCCCGGCGAGGGCA
This 73-nucleotide transfer RNA is filed under the name Stegodyphus mimosarum. It matches the Rfam family "tRNA". From Rfam's summary of the family: Transfer RNA (tRNA) molecules are approximately 80 nucleotides in length. Their secondary structure includes four short double-helical elements and three loops (D, anti-codon, and T loops). The record is from Rfam by way of RNAcentral. Lineage: Eukaryota; Metazoa; Arthropoda; Arachnida; Araneae; Eresidae.